UUUAAUAUGGCAGAAUAGUGUAAUGAAUUUAAGUCUCAUAAAUAAAAUUAAUAAUUUUUAUUAAAA
RNAcentral lists this transfer RNA (66 nucleotides) under Halictus rubicundus. Its description in RNAcentral is "tRNA-Leu". The record is from RNAcentral. Lineage: Eukaryota; Metazoa; Arthropoda; Insecta; Hymenoptera; Halictidae.